Molecule: long non-coding RNA, 732 nt
Organism: Pyrus x bretschneideri (Chinese white pear)
Lineage: Eukaryota; Viridiplantae; Streptophyta; Magnoliopsida; Rosales; Rosaceae
Exons: 2
Source: RefSeq, a predicted model, not a curated record
UCUUAUAAGUCAUUUGCUCUGCUCUCAUGGAUCUCUCUCUCAAUAUCACUCUCCUCUCUCACUUCUCAUUCGGACAACGAAGUCCCUCUCCUACCCUCCACCUCCUUUCCAAUCUUUCUCACCAACCAUCAUUCUCUCACCAUCGCUCUCUUCUCUAGUCUUCUCACUUCUCAGUCUCAAAGCCGAAGUCGAUCGAAAGUUUGAAAUCCUAGAAAAAAACUAGUCACGUCAUUCUUUCCUCUAGUCGUGUCAUCUCCUUUCUCCAGUCGCAAUCGCCACCACUCCAAUAAUAAAUGGAUAAGGUGAAGAAAAAGAAGAUGAGGAGUUAGAGAUUAGAUUAAGCUUCUGUCAAUUGGUUUCCUCUAAUUGCAAAAGGAGAGUGAAAAGUUGAGAGUGCGAUUGGAUUUGACAAAGGAGAACGAAGUUCUAACAUCACAAUUGAAGGUUUUUGUGACUACAAGUCAGGGGCGCAAGUCUAGCAACUUUAGAGGUAUCAAUGAUGAUGUUUCAGAAGAUAACAAUACCUAUGUUAAAUUGGAAGGCCAUAAUAUGGAUGUACGACUUAUUAUAUUAUGUCUUUUGUUGUUAGUUUCAAACAAGCACAUGGUAGACCUCUUUUGUUAGCACCUCAAUAAGUCGGGAUAUUUAUGUUAGCUUUUGGGACAUACACUUGGUGUAUGUGCUGGACUGUACUUCAAUUGUUGAUUAAUGAAGUAUUCCUUAUAUUUGUAA